This 484-nucleotide ribosomal RNA is filed under the name uncultured bacterium. RNAcentral's name for it is "partial 16S ribosomal RNA". It matches the Rfam family "Bacterial small subunit ribosomal RNA", at positions 30 to 507 of the family's 1533-position model. The record is from RNAcentral.
AUUGAACGCUGGCGGCAGGCCUAACACAUGCAAGUCGAGCGGAUGAAGGGAGCUUGCGCCUGGAUUCAGCGGCGGACGGGUGAGUAAGUCCUAGGAAUCUGCCUGGCAGUUGGGGAUAACGUCCGUAAAGGGGCGCUAAUACCGCAUACGUCCUUAGGGUGAAAGGGGGGGAUCUUUGGACCUCACGCUAUCAGAUGAGCCUAGGUCGGAUUAGCUAGUUGGUGGGGUAAAGGCCUACCAAGGCGACGAUCCGUAACUGGUCUGAGAGGAUGAUCAGUCACACUGGAACUGAGACACGGUCCAGACUCCUACGGGAGGCAGCAGUGGGGAAUAUUGGACAAUGGGCGAAAGCCUGAUCCAGCCAUGCCGCGUGUGUGAAGAAGGUCUUCGGAUUGUAAAGCACUUUUAGUUGGGAGGAAGGGCAGUAAGUUAAUACCUUGCUGUUUUGACGUUACCAACAGAAUAAGCACCGGCUAACUUCGUG